RNAcentral lists this ribosomal RNA (492 nucleotides) under uncultured bacterium. Its description in RNAcentral is "partial 16S ribosomal RNA". It matches the Rfam family "Bacterial small subunit ribosomal RNA", at positions 29 to 507 of the family's 1533-position model. The record is from RNAcentral.
AUUGAACGCUGGCGGCAUGCUUUACACAUGCAAGUCGAACGGUAACAGGCCUUCGGGUGCUGACGAGUGGCGAACGGGUGCGUAAUGCAUCGGAACGUACCCAGAGGUGGGGGAUAACGCAGCGAAAGCUGUGCUAAUACCGCAUGUGAUCUGAGGAUGAAAGCGGGGGACCGAGCAGCAAUGUUUGGCCUCGCGCCUUUGGAGCGGCCGAUGUCGGAUUAGCUAGUUGGUGGGGUAAAGGCCUACCAAGGCGACGAUCCGUAGCUGGUCUGAGAGGACGAACAGCCACACUGGGACUGAGACACGGCCCAGACUCCUACGGGAGGCAGCAGUGGGGAAUUUUGGACAAUGGGCGCAAGCCUGAUCCAGCAAUGCCGCGUGCGGGAAGAAGGCCUUCGGGUUGUAAACCGCUUUUGGCAGGAACGAAACGGUGUCCGCUAAUACCGGGCGCUAAUGACGGUACCUGCAGAAUAAGCACCGGCUAACUACGUG